Molecule: ribosomal RNA, 253 nt
Filed under: uncultured bacterium
Lineage: Bacteria
Description: partial 16S ribosomal RNA
Rfam family: Bacterial small subunit ribosomal RNA
Source: RNAcentral
UACAGAGACUGCAAGCGUUAUUCGGAUUCACUGGGCGUAAAGGGUGCGCAGGCGGCCGGGUGUGUCAGAUGUGAAAUCCCGAGGCUUAACCUCGGAACUGCGUCUGAAACUACUCGGCUAGAGUACUGGAGAGGGUAACGGAAUUCACGGUGUAGCAGUGAAGUGCGUAGAUAUCGUGAGGAACACCAGAGGCGAAGGCGGUUACCUGGACAGUUACUGACGCUCAGGCACGAAAGCAUGGGGAGCAAAAGGG